GUUCAAGAGUCGCGGCCGUAGGUACCUGGCUGGUCGCGCGACAACCCGAAUCCAUCGAUUCCCGGGUGUCCCAGGGCAAGAACGGGCUCACGAAUCAUCGUGAUGCAAGCAUCGAUG
This 117-nucleotide non-coding RNA is filed under the name Agrococcus casei. RNAcentral's name for it is "SAM-IV sequence". It matches the Rfam family "SAM (S-adenosyl methionine) riboswitch aptamer". From Rfam's summary of the family: SAM-IV is a mRNA element that regulates gene expression via direct sensing of S-adenosylmethionine (SAM or AdoMet). SAM-IV riboswitches share conserved nucleotide positions with the previously described SAM-I riboswitches sequence analysis and molecular recognition experiments suggest that SAM-I and SAM-IV riboswitches share similar ligand binding sites, but have different scaffolds. The record is from RNAcentral. Lineage: Bacteria; Bacillati; Actinomycetota; Actinomycetes; Micrococcales; Microbacteriaceae. RNAcentral also lists the same sequence under 1 other name.